GUAGGUGGCAAGCGUUGUCCGGGAAUUAUUGGGCGUAAAGCGCGCGCAGGCGGUUCGUUUAAGUCUGAUGUGAAAGCCCACGGGCUCAACCGUGGAGGGUCAUUGGAAACUGGAGAACUUGAGUACAGAAGAGGAAAGCGGAAUUCCACGUGUAGCGGUGAAAUGCGUAGAGAUGUGGAGGAACACCAGUGGCGAAGGCGGCUUUCUGGUCUGUAACUGACGCUGAGGCGCGAAAGCGUGGGGAGCAAACAGGAUUAGAUACCCUGGUAGUCCACGCCGUAAACAAUGAGUGCUAAGUGUUAGGGGGUUUCCGCCCCUUAGUGCUGCAGCUAACGCAUUAAGCACUCCGCCUGGGGAGUACGGCCGCAAAGGCUG
RNAcentral lists this ribosomal RNA (375 nucleotides) under uncultured organism. RNAcentral describes it as "partial 16S ribosomal RNA". It matches the Rfam family "Bacterial small subunit ribosomal RNA", at positions 527 to 896 of the family's 1533-position model. The record is from RNAcentral.